This 468-nucleotide ribosomal RNA is filed under the name uncultured bacterium. Its description in RNAcentral is "partial 16S ribosomal RNA". It matches the Rfam family "Bacterial small subunit ribosomal RNA", at positions 28 to 507 of the family's 1533-position model. The record is from RNAcentral.
GACGAACGCUGGCGGCGUGCUUAACACAUGCAAGUCGAACGGAAAGGCCCUGCUUUUGUGGGGUGCUCGAGUGGCGAACGGGUGAGUAACACGUGAGUAACCUGCCCUUGACUUUGGGAUAACUUCAGGAAACUGGGGCUAAUACCGGAUAGGAGCUCCUGCUGCAUGGUGGGGGUUGGAAAGUUUCGGCGGUUGGGGAUGGACUCGCGGCUUAUCAGCUUGUUGGUGGGGUAGUGGCUUACCAAGGCUUUGACGGGUAGCAGGCCUGAGAGGGUGACCGGCCACAUUGGGACUGAGAUACGGCCCAGACUCCUACGGGAGGCAGCAGUGGGGAAUAUUGCACAAUGGGCGGAAGCCUGAUGCAGCAACGCCGCGUGCGGGAUGACGGCCUUCGGGUUGUAAACCGCUUUCGCCUGUGACGAAGCGUGAGUGACGGUAAUGGGUAAAGAAGCACCGGCUAACUACGUG